Molecule: ribosomal RNA, 404 nt
Filed under: uncultured bacterium
Lineage: Bacteria
Description: partial 16S ribosomal RNA
Rfam family: Bacterial small subunit ribosomal RNA
Source: RNAcentral
GACGAACGCUGGCGGCGUGCUUAACACAUGCAAGUCGAGCGGAGCGGCGAACGGGUGAGUAACGCGUGAGUAACUGCCCCCCUCCCUGGGAUAACAGUUGGAUACGGCUGCCAAUACCGGAUAGUGGGGGAUGACUCGCGUCCUAUCGGCUUGUUGGUGGGGUAGUGGCCUACCAAGGCGACGACGGGGAGCCGGCCUGUGAGGGGGACCGGCCACAUUGGGCUGAGGUACGACCCAGACGCCUACGGGGGGCAGCGGUGGGGAAUAUUGCACAAUGGGGGAAACCGUGAUGCAGCAACGCGCGUGCGGGAUGACGGCCUUGGGGUUGUGAACCGCUUUCGGUCAUGACGCGGUAGUGGCAGAAGAAGCACCGGCUAACUACGUGCCAGCAGCCGCGGUAAUUC